RNAcentral lists this non-coding RNA (750 nucleotides) under Velutinodorcus velutinus. The record is from RNAcentral. Lineage: Eukaryota; Metazoa; Arthropoda; Insecta; Coleoptera; Lucanidae.
GAAGGUUUUAUUAUAGCCUUCGGGUUCAGUAAAUUAUAAUUUUACAUGCGAAUUUUAGAUUAAAUAUUUUUUAUAAGUAGUGAAUAAAUUUAAUGAUUAAGGAGGUUUAGAAUUAGAUAUUAAUAAGAGUAUAAACUAAUCUUGUGCCAGCAGUUGCGGUUAGACAUGAUAUACUUCUGAACUUGGCUCGGGUGAUAAUAAUCUUAUUAAUUAGGAAGUGAUAAUUAACUUUAUAAGGUGAAAUUUUAUAGUUGAUUUAGUUUAUUUUUGAAGGAAAAAUUAUUAAAUUUUUGUAUUAAACUAGGAUUAGAUACCCUAUUAUUGAAAGUGUGAAUUAAAAUUCCUGAGGAGUAUUAGAUGUUCUUGAAAUUUAAAAAAUUUGGCGGUGUUUUAGUCUGUUCAGAGGAACCUGUCCUGUAAUUGAUAAUCCACGAUUAAUUGAACUUGUUUUUUAAGUUUGUAUAUCGUCGUUAUUUGAAUAUCUUUAAAGGGUUAAAUAUUCAAUAUUUGGAAUUUUAAACCAAAUCAGAUCAAGGUGCAGUUUACAGACAAGAAGAGAUGGGUUACAAUGAAUAUAUUUAUAUGGUUUGAGAAGUGAAAUUUUUACAAUAAAUAGGAUUUGAAAGUAAAAUUAAUAAUUUAAUUGGUUUGACUUAAGCUCUAAAAUAUGCACAUAUCGCCCGUCGCUCCCACCAUAAGGUGGGAUAAGUCGUAACAUAGUAGGUGUACCGGAAGGUGUGCCUGGAAAGA